UCCUACGGGAGGCAGCAGUGAGGAAUAUUGGACAAUGGGUGAGAGCAUGAUCCAGCCAUGCCACGUGCAUGAAGACGGCCUUAUGGGUUGUAAACUGCUUUUAUACAGGAAUAAACCAUCUUACGUGUAGGGUGUUGAAGGUACUGUAUGAAUAAGCACCGGCUAACUCCGUGCCAGCAGCCGCGGUAAUACGGAGGGUGCAAGCGUUAUCCGGAUUUAUUGGGUUUAAAGGGUCCGCAGGCGGGUCUGUAAGUCAGGGGUGAAAUCCGGCAGCUUAACUGUCGAACUGCCUUUGAUACUGCAGGUCUUGAGUGGGAAUGAAGCAGCUGGAAUGUGUGGUGUAGCGGUGAAAUGCAUAGAUAUCACGCAGAACACCGAUCGCGAAGGCACGUUGAUGAUUCACAACUGACGCUGAG
RNAcentral lists this ribosomal RNA (416 nucleotides) under uncultured Shewanella sp. RNAcentral's name for it is "bacterial SSU rRNA". It matches the Rfam family "Bacterial small subunit ribosomal RNA", at positions 337 to 750 of the family's 1533-position model. The record is from RNAcentral. Lineage: Bacteria; Pseudomonadati; Pseudomonadota; Gammaproteobacteria; Alteromonadales; Shewanellaceae.